Parasteatoda tepidariorum (common house spider) is the source of this 838-nucleotide non-coding RNA. The record is from RefSeq and is a predicted model, not a curated record. Lineage: Eukaryota; Metazoa; Arthropoda; Arachnida; Araneae; Theridiidae.
AAUGAGUAAAACCGGAAUAUAUAUAUUUUUUUUAAAAAAAUAAAAAGUGUUGAACAUUAAAAUUUGAAAACUCUAUUGUUCACCUUUAUAUUGACUUGUGCUUUCAGUUAAAGCAUGAAUGUUCCUCAGAGGUUUGCUUUCAAGCAAAUAUUCGACUUAUUUCUUUGUUCUGAGAGGAUCUGGAAGACUGAUCUUUGUCCAGCCCAAAAUAUGUAUUCUUUGAGUGUAAUGAUGGACUCUCUUCGGGAAUUGAAAAGACAAAAGGGAGAAAGAAGCUUCAUUUUUGUCAAUUUUGUAAUUAUUCUACAAAAAAUCAUUGCAACCUACAAUCUCAUAUGAGAACUCACACGGGAGAAAAGCCCUUCGUUUGCUGCAUUUGCCAGAAGACCUUCUCUGCUCGGUACAACAUGAUCCGGCACAUUUCACUAAAACAUGAUCCCAAAAAACAGCUAAAAUAGUUAAAUGAUUGUUCAUUUCCAAACUAUUUGUAAUAGUUUUAGAUAAAUAAUUAUCUGGAAGUUAUCAAUAAAAUACCAUCAAUUGUUUUUUUUUUUUUUAAUUUAGCUCAAAUUUAUUUAAUUUUAGUAACUAAUAUUAUGUAUGUAUAUAGCACUUAAUAUUAUAUUGUGUUAUCUUUGCUGUAUGAAUUGGGCAAAACUAGCAUUGUUUUCAGUUGUGUAGUUUCAUUUACUUAUGACUUCAAAAAAAAAAAAAAUGAUAGAAACCUUUAAAUUGUUUUUGCAAGAGCAAUAAUGAAAAAAAUAAGGCACAUUACUUUCAAAAGUCUUGUGAUUUAUUAUUACAUAGUAGUGAUUAAAGUCGAUUAUGAAAAUAAUAA